Molecule: ribosomal RNA, 253 nt
Filed under: uncultured bacterium
Lineage: Bacteria
Description: partial 16S ribosomal RNA
Rfam family: Bacterial small subunit ribosomal RNA
Source: RNAcentral
UACGUAGGGGGCUAGCGUUGUCCGGAAUCAUUGGGCGUAAAGCGCGUGUAGGCGGUCCGGUAAGUCCGCUGUGAAAUCUCGAGGCUCAACUUCGAGCUGUCGGUGGAAACUGUCUGGCUAGAGUCCGGAAGAGGAGAAUGGAAUUCCUGGUGUAGCGGUGAAAUGCGCAGAUAUCAGGAAGAACACCCGUGGCGAAGGCGGUUCUCUGGGACGGUACUGACGCUGAGACGCGAAAGCGUGGGGAGCGAACAGG